AGUGGAUGGGGAGCAACCUAGUUGUGCGUGUGUAAAGGUAGUGCCAAGAAAAGCGAUGAUCAUGUUGAAAAUCAAUUCCCGGUACCCGAAACCGACACAGGUGGGCAAGUAGAGAAUACUAAGGGGCGCGAGGUAACUCUCUCCAAGGAACUCGGCAAAAUGACCCCGUAACUUAGGGAGAAGGGGUGACACCGAGAGGUGGUCGCAGUGAAGAGGCCCAGGCGACUGUUUAGCAAAAACAUAGGUCUCUGCAAACUCGAAAGAGGAGGUAUAGGGGCUGACGCCUGCCCAGUGCCGGAAGGUUAAAGAAGUUGGUCAGUUUUAGGAUGAAGCUAGCGACUGAAGCCCCGGUGAACGGCGGCCGUAACUAUAACGGUCCUAAGGUAGCGAAAUUCCUUGUCGGGUAAGUUCCGACCCGCACGAAAGGCGUAACGAUCUGGGCGCUGUCUCGGAGAGAGGCUCGGCGAAAUAGGAUUGUCUGUGAAGAUACGGACUACCUGCAUUUGGACAGAAAGACCCUAUGAAGCUUUACUAUAGCUUGGAAUUGUGUUCGGGCUUCCUGUGCGCAGGAUAGGUGGGAGGCGUAGAAGGUAUUCUCGUGGGGAUACUGGAGCCAACGGUGAGAUACCACUCUCAGGAGGCUAGAAUUCUAACUUAAUUAAGGACAGUUUCAGGUGGGUAGUUUGACUGGGGCGGUCGCCUCCAAAAAGGUAACGGAGGCGUACAAAGGUUCCCUCAGACUGGUUGGAAAUCAGUCGAAGAGUGCAAAGGCAGAAGGGAGCUUGACUGCGAGAAGUACAGUUCGAGCAGGGUGGAAACACGGUCUUAGUGAUCCGACGGUGCUGUGUGGAAGGGCCGUCGUUCAACGGAUAAAAGUUACUCUAGGAUAACAGGCUGAUCUCCCCCAAGAGUUCACAUCGACGGGGAGGUUUGGCACCUCGAUGUCGGCUCAUCGCAACCUGGGGCGGAAGUACGUCCCAAGGGUUGGGCUGUUCGCCCAUUAAAGCGGUACGUGAGCUGGGUUCAGAACGUCGUGAGACAGUUCGGUCCAUAUCCGAUGUAGGCGUGAGAAUAUUGAGAGGAGCCUUCCUUAGUACGAGAGGACCGGGAAGGACGCACCGCUGGUGUACCUGUUAUGAUGCCAAUUGUAAACGCAGGGUAGCCAAGUGCGGAGAGGAUAACCGCCGAAAGCAUCUAAGUGGGAAGCCCACCUCAAGAUGAGUAUUCUGGUGUAAGGUCACGGGAAGACGACCCGUAAAUAGGCACGAGGUGGAAGUGCAGAGAUGUAUGAAGCCGAAGUGUACUAAUAGACCGUCGGCUUGACC
Molecule: ribosomal RNA, 1325 nt
Filed under: metagenome
Description: bacterial LSU rRNA
Rfam family: Bacterial large subunit ribosomal RNA
Source: RNAcentral